Eubalaena glacialis (North Atlantic right whale) is the source of this 1447-nucleotide long non-coding RNA. RefSeq lists it as uncharacterized. Lineage: Eukaryota; Metazoa; Chordata; Mammalia; Artiodactyla; Balaenidae. The transcript has 5 exons. The record is from RefSeq and is a predicted model, not a curated record.
UUUUUUCAAACGAGGGCGCCAAGCUGGUCGCAGAGCCGAGAGAGCACGGGGACAUGGGUUUGAGCCCUGGUCCGGGAAGAUCCCACAUGCCACGGAGCAACUAAGCCUAUGCGCUACAGCUACUGAACCUGCGUGCUGCAACUACUGAAGCCCGUGCGCCUAGAGCCUGUGCUCCGCAACAAGAGAAGCCACCGCAAUGAGAAGCCCGCGCACCACAACGAAGAGUAGCCCCCGCUCGCCGCAACUAGAGAAAGCCCGCGCGCAGCAACGAAGACCCAACGCAGCCAAAAAAAAAAAAAAAAAGAUCAAUAUCAGCAGCCCAAACAGACUAAGACAGACUCAUACAGAUGGAAGACGAUGUGAGGACACAGAGAGAAGGCAGCUGUCUACAAGCCAAGGAGAGAGGCCUCCGCAGUAACUGACCCUGCCCACACCUUGAACUUGGACUUCCAGCCUCCAGAACUCCGGGUCCUCGAGAUGCUCCAGCCCUGCCUGUUUAUCUUGUGAGCUGCCGAAGGCCCACGCUCCCCCUGCCGCAGCUCCGUCCCCGUGUGAUUACAUCUUUCCUCGCCUGAAAGCAGCCCGUGGGCCCCAGAAGCGCUGGACGGUGUUCUCUGGGCCAAUGUCAAGACAGCAGUGAGGGGUCAAAUGCAAAAGGAGAAGCUGGCUGAAGGGGCUCGUGAUUCUUCAGGGGGCCCUGCUGGCAUUUGGGGCAGGACGGACCUGUCAGUGUCCUCAACCCCAUCAAGUAUCCAGUAUCCCUAGUCACUGGGCUGUCCCAACCCAACCCAACCCAAUCCCCACCCCCGCUUCCUGGUGGGACCACCCUGGGCUCCCGGCAGCUGCCUCUGAUCUGCUGUGUAGGUGAAGGGCCAGCCUUCUGCAGCUUCCGGGUGGAGAGCUGGUUCUCCUCGUCUGGACCCUCCUUCUCCACUGGGCAUCCCAGAGGCUCUGUGUCUGCUACCUUUCCGAGCUGCUCGGGCAUCCUAGAGGCCACACCCCCGAGGGGUAAGGGCAGAGGCCAGAGUGGGACGUCUGGUGGAGGAGAGGGGGCUUUGGCAUCACACAGACCCAGGGCUGAGCCCGCCUCUGCCUCUUACUGGCUCUGCGUUGGCCCUGAGUCAGCACGUGACCAGCCUGUGCUUGUUUUUUUUUAAAAACCAGUGGACACCCCAGGGCAUCCAAUCUGUGCCCAGGCAUCCAAGUGAGCCUCACUUUCCAUGUUUAUAAAAGGGAGCUCUCCACCCCGGUCUCACAGGGUUUGCCGGGCUCACAGGAAGAACGGUAUGUACCUAAAGUGUCUGAUGUUCCCAAGCCCCCUCUGAUUGUGGUGGCCCAGGGUAGACAGGGGACCGGAGGCAAAAAUUACACUCAGCUCCCCAGACCUGGAGAUUUUUGUUCAGAAGCCAAUAAAUCAACAACAUCGCGAGGAUUCGAUGCAUGUGCU